GACUUGGGAGCUGAAGACUCUCUCACAGCUCCUGUUUAUGCUCCAGGAGUUGGCAGUGAGUUUUCUCCCUGAUGUCUCCUUUUUUCACCCGUGGGAAACUUCCUGUGUUGACGGAGACUCUCACCUUGGCUCUUCCAUUCCAUGGUGUCCCCAUCCCUAGCAGCAACCUCUCUGACGCAGAGGACUGCAAUUCCAAAACCAAAUCCAUGCUGAGCCCCUCUGGGGGCUGUCUCCCCCGUGAAGACCCCUCAUUCUGUGAGGACAUCAUCCUUCUUGAAGUCACGACUUCCAGUGUGUGUUCUCCUCAUCUCGCCUAUCCAAGGCAUGUGGGGUUCUCAAAGGGAAAAGAGAUGGCCCAACCUAUGGAAGCUACUUCAGGACAACCCAUGGCAGGUCUACAAACUAGGUAUCACUGCGGCCUGGGCUGACGACAGUGACUUUAAAGAAUCUACUGCUCAUGAAAAUCUGCAUGGAGACAAGGGGUUGCUGGACAGGUGCCCCAAAGAUGAAACAAAACUUACUGAAAGCAAACUGGGUAGUCUUGUGGGACUGCUAAAGAUGUUUCGGGGAGUUCACAUGGGUGAUGAAUAAAUCCAGAAGGAUGACCAUGAAAAUCAAAACACUGACAAAGAAAAUCACAAAAACAUUCAGAGAAAGAAAAAAGAUGAGGGCUGGGAUUUCUUCAAACUUGCUCUGGUUGAAGACCUCAGGCUAAGCAGCUGUUCCCCUGCACACCUGGCUCAGGUCACUCACUCAGGGACAUGAGGUGUGUCUAGGCUCGCCCACGUGCAAACCAUCAGAAAAUACAGAUAUCAUCCCCGUCCCAGAGCUACCUGUGACGUGUAAGGAACAGGAGCUUCCCAAGACUGCAGGCAAGCUGAGCAGCAGCCAUAAGUCCGGCAUCACAGAGCCCUCAACCUCCUCAGCAUAGCUGGAGGACCAUGUCCCUAAAGCACAGAGCACUACCUGUAUGCAUGCGGGGCAGCCCUUCCUCUGGCUGCACAAGAGAGUUCUUCCCAUGUGACACAGAAGAUAGGACCCUGAGCAGGCCUGUAAAGAGCCAUACAAUCCCAGAAGGCCCCGCUCCUAUCAUAAACCCCUGCCACAUCAUUCUCAGGCACUCUGCCUAGCCUUGGCUGAAGAGCCCACUGACACCUACUAAAGUGGUUUCCAGAGAACAGAAUGGUGGGGAUGGGAAUCUGGAAUUAGUUCUCUGUUCUGGUCAGAUUUAAAGUUGAGUGUAGCUACUAGGAGGCAAAGAAGAAAGAAGAUUCAAAGGAUGGGAAGAGAGGCUGAGGUAGUUAUCACCUGACUCUCUCCCUGAUGGACCGUGGGCCAGCCAUAUUCCUCUGCCAAAGACCAUACCUCCUGUUGGAUGAACCUCACCUACAACCAUUGAUCUUGAGUUCUACAAAUUGCAUUGCCCCUUUGAUCCUUCAGGCCCACAGUUAGUAUUGGCUUCCUGCUGUUGGAAAGUUGGCC
Heterocephalus glaber (naked mole-rat) is the source of this 1482-nucleotide long non-coding RNA. The record is from Ensembl. Lineage: Eukaryota; Metazoa; Chordata; Mammalia; Rodentia; Bathyergidae.